GUAUUUACUUCAGCAACACCUAUACUAAAAUUGGGAUGAUGCAAAGAUUAUCAGGCCCCUGGGCAAGGACGUAUGCAUAUUCAUGAUGCAUUUCAUAUUUUU
Small nuclear RNA from Sorex araneus (European shrew), 102 nucleotides. NCBI's taxonomy places the organism in Eukaryota, Metazoa, Chordata, Mammalia, Eulipotyphla, Soricidae. The record is from Ensembl.